AAGAGACAUAGUGAUAAAUUAUAGUUUCUUGGCUGAGAUGCAGAGAGAAAAAAACCCUGAAUCUGGAGAAAAUACUUCCGCUCAAACCCUAAGAAUGAAAAAUAAAAUUAAAUGAUCUCCUUUUGAUAAUGACGGUCUUCUUCAAACAAAUCCUGGAUUCCUGAUCAAUCAAGCCACUCCGAGGUGCGAAUCUGUGGGAAGAUCCUUUCUUUUUUACCUGUUUUUAGCAAUAAACAUGAAGAAAGCGUGGUCGGUUGGAUAGGUUCGGAAACAUGAGAGGAGAACUCAAAGCAGACAAUGAAAAUGAUACCUGGUCGUAGGGGAUCAUUUGAAGGAGUGGUAAUUAUUAUCACUGUGUAAACCUCUACUGAGCAACAAAUUGAGAUAUGCCUAAUCCUUAUGAUCCAUGUCAAAUUACCAUUGGUUCUAUUUAGUUGAUUUUCCCUUGAACCAUGUUAGUGAAAACACAUGGAGUCUACAUGGAUAAUUGUGUUUAUGUCGACAAAAACGAUAGGCAUAAGAGAAAAUGAAGUACAAAUUAAAUCAGUUUGUGCACAUUGGAUACUAAUCAAUUAUAACUUUUGCGGUUAACCAGUAAAUUUUCUAUUGUGUGUGAGUGACUAGGUUUGGAAAUGUCGGAAUACAUGCACCUUUGUUACACGUUGUCCUUUCAUUCCAUGUUAGGAUGAGUGUAAAUUUGGUAAACGUUAGCCCAAAUUACUGUAUCAUGCCAGCAAUUCAAUUAUACUCUUAUCAGAUCACAUAGGAAUGCUGUACAGUUCAUAGUAACUCUCUUCAAAUUUUAUGGUGAUUUGGGCGCAACAUGAUCCACCUGUUAAAGAGGCAUUUGAUGUUGGUUACAGUAACAUAGACGUAUACAUUUUCAUCAAAAAGCUCCAACAAUAGAAGUUGAGAAUAUGAAAAGUUAAGUUAAUGUACAUUGGUGCUGAGGGAACUUUCAAGUCUGCAAGAUUCUUACAUAUUGCAGGUUUUUACUUAAUGUUGAUGGUGUUUUGGAGUAUGUGACGUAUGCUAUAAAGCUUGAACAUUGAUCAUCAGCGGAUUAGUUUCUCAUCUGAUCCAAUAUCAUUUUUGUUCAAUAUUUAUGCAGGCUCUUUAGUAUCUUUCAUUUCUUAGUUCUCAUCUUUGGGCUAAUCCUAUUUGCGCAGCCAAAGUCAUGCCAUGAAUGGAACUGGAGGCUAUGUGAAUGUACCCCCAAUAGAGACCAUUUGAGCAAUAGGAGAGGGUUGACGUUAGUGGACGGUGUUGAAGCCAAAAUCCAAAAUCAUACCAUGAAUGGAAUGAGCGGCUACAUGAACAUACCCCCAAUAGAGACCAUUUGAGCAAUAGAAGAAGGUUGGCGUUAGUGAAAGGUGUUGAGUGCAACUACAUUCUCACAUGUUUGUCUGUUUUGUAGAAAACCUCUUAAUACAUUUUUAAUUGAUGAUCCUUUAAAAGAAAA
This is a long non-coding RNA of Papaver somniferum (opium poppy), 1462 nucleotides long. RefSeq lists it as uncharacterized. The transcript is spliced from 4 exons. Lineage: Eukaryota; Viridiplantae; Streptophyta; Magnoliopsida; Ranunculales; Papaveraceae. The record is from RefSeq and is a predicted model, not a curated record.